GCAUGACCGAAUUCUGUGUUAGCUUCUUGCUAUAGUUAAUACAGUCAGACAUCAUGCUACAGUAUGCUCACUCUAAACAUCUAUAAUGCCAUGUCCUGCCAUAGCACAGUUGGCAGAAUUGUUCAUAGAGUGAAUACAAUA
This is a small nucleolar RNA of Callorhinchus milii (elephant shark), 141 nucleotides long. The record is from Ensembl. NCBI's taxonomy places the organism in Eukaryota, Metazoa, Chordata, Chondrichthyes, Chimaeriformes, Callorhinchidae.